CAGCAUUCAGAAGCGAGAAUGUUGACAUGAGUAGCGACAAAGCGGGUGAGAGACCCGCUCGCCGAAAGUCCAAGGGUUCCUGCUUAAAGCUAAUCUGAGCAGGGUGAGCCGACCCCUAAGGCGAGGCCGAAAGGCGUAGUCGAUGGGAACCAGGUUAAUAUUCCUGGGCCAGGAGGAAGUGACGGAUCGCAGAGCUUGUUCGACCUUAUCGGAUUGGUCGGGCCUGUGAGCGGUUCCUGGAAAUAGCCCUCCAUGAGAUCGUACCCUAAACCGACACAGGUGGACUGGUAGAGCAUACCAAGGCGCUUGAGAGAACUACGUUGAAGGAACUCGGCAAAAUACCUCCGUAACGUCGGGAGAAGGAGGCCCCGUUGGCGCGCAAGCGUUGGCGGGGGGCACAAACCAGGGGGUGGCGACUGUUUACUAAAAACACAGGACUCUGCGAAGCCCAAAGGCGACGUAUAGGGUCUGACGCCUGCCCGGUGCCGGAAGGUUAAAAGGAGGGGUGCAAGCUCCGAAUUGAAGCCCCGGUAAACGGCGGCCGUAACAAUAACGGUCCUAAGGUAGCGAAAUUCCUUGUCGGGUAAGUUCCGACCUGCACGAAUGGCGUAACGACUUCCCCGCUGUCUCCAACGUAGACUCAGCGAAAUUGAAUUCCCCGUGAAGAUGCGGGGUUCCCGCGGUCAGACGGAAAGACCCCGUGCACCUUUACUACAGCUUCACACUGGCAUCAGGCCAGGCAUGUGCAGGAUAGGUGGUAGGCUUUGAAACAGGGACGCCAGUUCCUGCGGAGCCACCCUUGAGAUACCACCCUUGCCUUGCCUGAUGUCUAACCGCGGACCGUCAUCCGGUUCCGGGACCUUGUGUGGUGGGUAGUUUGACUGGGGCGGUCGCCUCCCAAAGAGUAACGGAGGCGCGCGAUGGUGGGCUCAGGUUGGUCGGAAAUCAACCGUCGAGUGCAAUGGCAUAAGCCCGCCUGACUGCGAGACUGACAAGUCGAGCAGAGACGAAAGUCGGCCAUAGUGAUCCGGUGGUCCCGCGUGGAAGGGCCAUCGCUCAACGGAUAAAAGGUACGCCGGGGAUAACAGGCUGAUACUGCCCAAGAGUCCAUAUCGACGGCAGUGUUUGGCACCUCGAUGUCGGCUCAUCACAUCCUGGGGCUGGAGAAGGUCCCAAGGGUACGGCUGUUCGCCGUUUAAAGUGGUACGUGAGCUGGGUUUAGAACGUCGUGAGACAGUUCGGUCCCUAUCUGCCGUGGGUGUCGGAGACUUGAGAGGAGUUGCCCCUAGUACGAGAGGACCGGGGUGAACGCACCACUGGUGGACCUGUUGUCGUGCCAACGGCAGUGCAGGGUAGCUAUGUGCGGACAGGAUAACCGCUGAAGGCAUCUAAGCGGGAAGCCCCCCUCAAAACCAGGUCUCCCUUGAGGGCCGUGGAAGACCACCACGUCAUAGGCCGGAGGUACAAGCGCGGUAACGCGUUCAGCUGACCGGUACUAAUCGCCC
This 1505-nucleotide ribosomal RNA is filed under the name metagenome. RNAcentral's name for it is "bacterial LSU rRNA". It matches the Rfam family "Bacterial large subunit ribosomal RNA", at positions 1276 to 2910 of the family's 2925-position model. The record is from RNAcentral.